This 468-nucleotide ribosomal RNA is filed under the name uncultured bacterium. RNAcentral describes it as "partial 16S ribosomal RNA". It matches the Rfam family "Bacterial small subunit ribosomal RNA", at positions 28 to 507 of the family's 1533-position model. The record is from RNAcentral.
GACGAACGCUGGCGGCGUGCUUAACACAUGCAAGUCGAACGGUAAGGCCCCACCUUGCUGGGGUGCUCGAGUGGCGAACGGGUGAGUAACACGUGGGUGACCUGCCCUUCACUUUGGGAUAACUUCAGGAAACUGGGGCUAAUACCGGAUAGGAGCUCCUGCUGCAUAGUGUGGUGUGGAGAUUUUUGGCGGUUGGGGAUGGCCUCGCGGCUUCUCAGCUUGUUGGUGGGGUAGUGGCUUACCAAGGCCUCGACGGGUAGCCGGCCUGAGAGGGUGAACGGCCACAUUGGGACUGAGACACGGCCCAGACUCCUACGGGAGGCAGCAGUGGGGAAUAUUGCACAAUGGGCGGAAGCCUGAUGCAGCGACGCCGCGUGCGGGAUGACGGCCUUCGGGUUGUAAACUGCUUUCGCCUGUGACGAAGCGUGAGUGACGGUAAAGGGAGAAGAAGCACCGGCUAACUACGUG